Pelodiscus sinensis (Chinese soft-shelled turtle) is the source of this 387-nucleotide non-coding RNA. NCBI's taxonomy places the organism in Eukaryota, Metazoa, Chordata, Testudines, Trionychidae. The record is from RefSeq and is a predicted model, not a curated record.
GCAGCCUGUGGCUUUUGAAUGAGCCUGUAGGAAACAGAUAUGGCUGCGAGUGCCCAGAGCUGUUGUGGGGUCUAGUUAAAGCAAACUGACUGGACAAACUUCUAACAGAGUUCACCCUUGGGAUUGCUGUGAAGGAAGGAAUCCUUUCUUUCCCCUUCUGCAUUAAGAAGGAAGGGACCCUGGAGAGUACUGGAAUUACAGUGUAUCUUUUGGAUUAUUUUUGUUUGCCUGGAAGGGGAAGAUUUUAUUGUUUGAGUGAAGGGGGAACUGAUCUACCACAAAAGAAAUUGAAGCCUGGAAGCAAUUUGACAAAGGAAAGAACAAAGUCAUGAAUAAUGAGGUCUUCUGAGAGACUACAUAUGCACGGAUGGAUGAGACACAGUGGGA